GCGGGUGAAAAGCCCGCUCGCCGGAAGACCAAGGGUUCCUGUCCAACGUUAAUCGGGGCAGGGUGAGUCGACCCCUAAGGCGAGGCCGAAAGGCGUAGUCGAUGGGAAACGGGUUAAUAUUCCCGUACUUGGUGUUACUGCGAAGGGGGGACGGAGAAGGCUAUGUUGGCCGGGCGACGGUUGUCCCGGUUUAAGCGUGUAGGUGUGUGUUCCAGGUAAAUCCGGUUCACUUUAACACUGAGGCGUGAUGACGAGGCACUACGGUGCUGAAGCAACAAAUGCCCUGCUUCCAGGAAAAGCCUCUAAGCAUCAGGUAACAUCAAAUCGUACCCCAAACCGACACAGGUGGUCAGGUAGAGAAUACCAAGGCGCUUGAGAGAACUCGGGUGAAGGAACUAGGCAAAAUGGUGCCGUAACUUCGGGAGAAGGCACGCUGACAC
This 440-nucleotide ribosomal RNA is filed under the name Salmonella enterica. RNAcentral's name for it is "partial 23S ribosomal RNA". It matches the Rfam family "Bacterial large subunit ribosomal RNA", at positions 1317 to 1757 of the family's 2925-position model. Lineage: Bacteria; Pseudomonadati; Pseudomonadota; Gammaproteobacteria; Enterobacterales; Enterobacteriaceae. The record is from RNAcentral. RNAcentral also lists the same sequence under 1 other name.